GUGCACUUUCCAGCCAGCACGGAGCCAUGGGCACCUCUCAGGACAACUGGCACAAGCACUGCAAGAUGGUGUGUGUGUGUGUGUGUGUGUGUGUGUGUGUGUGUAAGAGGAAACGCUACCACAGGAAGCGGAAGUAUGAACUGGGACAGCCUGGGGCCAGCACUAACAUCGACCCUCACACAUUCCAUGUUUGAGGAGGCAAUAAGAAGUACCAUGCCCUGAGAUUGGAUGUGGGUAACUUUUCCUGGCCCCUGAGUGUUGUACUCGAAAAACAAGGAUCAUUGAUGUUGUCUACAAAGCAUCUAAUAAUGAGCUUGUCUGCACCAAGACCCUGACAAAGAACAGCAUCGUGCUUAUUGACACCACACCAUACUGGCAGCGGUUCGAGUCCCACUAUGCACUGCCCCUGGGCCAACAAAGAAGGGGGCCAAUCUGACUCCUGAGGAGGAAGAGAUUUUAAACAAAAACCGAUCAAAGAAUACUCAAAAGAAAUAUGACGAAAGGAAAAAGAAUGCCAAAGUCAGCAGCCUCCUGGAGGAGCAGUCACAACACAGCAAGCUUCUUGUCUGCGUUGCCUCAAGACCAGGCCAGUGUGGCAGAGCAGACGGCUAUGUGCUCGGAAGGCAAGGAGCUGGAGUUCUAUCUGCGGAAGAUCAAAGCCCGGAAAGGCAAAUAAACCAUUAUUCACAGCUCGUGUAAUAAAGGUGUUUGCUGUUCUAUAUUAAAAAAAGAAAUGUUGCUCUUACAGAGGACCAGAGUGGCUUACAAGUAUCUUUGUCCUUUUUCUGUCCUCCACAUUCACUUGCACACAUCCACACACAGAUACCCACCAUAAUUAAAAAUAAAAUAAAUUUCUUUCCAAGUUCCCGAAUGUGUACUACUUGCCAGACCCUUGAACACAGCCCUCUGUGUGCAGACAAAGCAUCAGCUUUUGUCAGCUAUGGCUAUUGAACUCGGGAGUUUACUCUGCCAAGACUCAGCAUUUCAUUAUUACCCACAUUUAUUAAAAUAUCUACAUGAUCUGACUGCAAUCAGACUAAGUCAGGUAACAGCAACAGAAAAAAAAAAAAAAAAGAAAAGAAAAGAAAGCCUGUCACUUUAAGAAUUUGUAACGUUGGUCCCAUUAGCAUUCCUCUCUGGUUUUAUGCACUUGGUCUGUGCUGUGGGAUGUAGCAUAAAUUAUCUGCCUUCAGCAAAACGAACAGCUGAAAUGCAGGAUGGCCUGACAGUGCUUGUUAGACCAUUAGCUACUGUGAGUGCUCACUGCGGACUGACUGCCUUUCAGCUGUCUCAAGAAGCCUUUAAGUGAUUCAAAACCUAGAAGUCCAGUAACCCAGUAUCCAAACCAGUCCAGUACUCAACAGCAUGAGAGUUAGGGUUUAAUUAAUAAACAGCCCUCCAAUGGUUAUUUUAAUGUAAAAUAUCACCACAUUCCAACGUCUUUUGUAUUAGUAAAAAGCCAGCCACAGUGAAAAAAAGUGAAGCAAUGUUUUGGUAAAAUCCUUUUAACAGAUCUCUCUCUCUCUCUCUCUCUGUCUUCC
Molecule: long non-coding RNA, 1541 nt
Filed under: Mus musculus (house mouse)
Lineage: Eukaryota; Metazoa; Chordata; Mammalia; Rodentia; Muridae
Description: HEATER_TCONS_01560782
Source: RNAcentral